UAGUUUGAUUAUGGCUCAGAUUGAACGCUGGCGGCAGGCCUAACACAUGCAAGUCGAACGGUAACAGGAAGCAGCUUGCUGCUUCGCUGACGAGUGGCGGACGGGUGAGUAAUGUCUGGGAAACUGCCUGAUGGAGGGGGAUAACUACUGGAAACGGUAGCUAAUACCGCAUAACGUCGCAAGACCAAAGAGGGGGACCUUCGGGCCUCUUGCCAUCGGAUGUGCCCAGAUGGGAUUAGCUUGUUGGUGGGGUAACGGCUCACCAAGGCGACGAUCCCUAGCUGGUCUGAGAGGAUGACCAGCCACACUGGAACUGAGACACGGUCCAGACUCCUACGGGAGGCAGCAGUGGGGAAUAUUGCACAAUGGGCGCAAGCCUGAUGCAGCCAUGCCGCGUGUAUGAAGAAGGCCUUCGGGUUGUAAAGUACUUUCAGCGGGGAGGAAGGGAGUAAAGUUAAUACCUUUGCUCAUUGACGUUACCCGCAGAAGAAGCACCGGCUAACUCCGUGCCAGCAGCCGCGGUAAUACGGAGGGUGCAAGCGUUAAUCGGAAUUACUGGGCGUAAAGCGCACGCAGGCGGUUUGUUAAGUCGGAUGUGAAAUCCCCGGGCUCAACCUGGGAACUGCAUCUGAUACUGGCAGGCUUGAGUCUCGUAGAGGGGGGUAGAAUUCCAGGUGUAGCGGUGAAAUGCGUAGAGAUCUGGAGGAAUACCGGUGGCGAAGGCGGCCCCCUGGACGAAGACUGACGCUCAGGUGCGAAGGCGUGGGGAGCAAACAGGAUUAGAUACCCUGGUAGUCCACGCCGUAAACGAUGUCGACUUGGAGGUUGUGCCCUUGAGGCGUGGCUUCCGGAGCUAACGCGUUAAGUCGACCGCCUGGGGAGUACGGCCGCAAGGUUAAAACUCAAAUGAAUUGACGGGGGCCCGCACAAGCGGUGGAGCAUGUGGUUUAAUUCGAUGCAACGCGAAGAACCUUACCUGGUCUUGACAUCCACGGAAGUUUUCAGAGAUGAGAAUGUGCCUUCGGGAACCGUGAGACAGGUGCUGCAUGGCUGUCGUCAGCUCGUGUUGUGAAAUGUUGGGUUAAGUCCCGCAACGAGCGCAACCCUUAUCCUUUGUUGCCAGCGGUCCGGCCGGGAACUCAAAGGAGACUGCCAGUGAUAAACUGGAGGAAGGUGGGGAUGACGUCAAGUCAUCAUGGCCCUUACGACCAGGGCUACACACGUGCUACAAUGGCGCAUACAAAGAGAAGCGACCUCGCGAGAGCAGGCGGACCUCAUAAAGUGCGUCGUAGUCCGGAUUGGGGUCUGCAACUCGACUCCAUGAAGUCGGAAUCGCUAGUAAUCGUGGAUCAGAAUGCCACGGUGAAUACGUUCCCGGGCCUUGUACACACCGCCCGUCACACCAUGGGAGUGGGUUGCAAAAGAAGUAGGUAGCUUAACCUUCGGGAGGGCGCUUACCACUUUGUGAUUCAUGACUGGGGUGAAGUCGUAACAAGGUACCC
This 1502-nucleotide ribosomal RNA is filed under the name Enterobacteriaceae bacterium. RNAcentral's name for it is "bacterial SSU rRNA". It matches the Rfam family "Bacterial small subunit ribosomal RNA". The record is from RNAcentral. Lineage: Bacteria; Pseudomonadati; Pseudomonadota; Gammaproteobacteria; Enterobacterales; Enterobacteriaceae.